RNAcentral lists this unclassified non-coding RNA (304 nucleotides) under uncultured Inocybe. RNAcentral describes it as "sequence contains ITS2". The stretch from base 1 to 52 matches the Rfam family "5.8S ribosomal RNA", at positions 103 to 154 of the family's 154-position model. The record is from RNAcentral. Lineage: Eukaryota; Fungi; Basidiomycota; Agaricomycetes; Agaricales; Cortinariaceae.
AACGCAUCUUGCGCUCCUUGGUAUUCCGAGGAGCAUGCCUGUUUGAGUGUCAUUAAGCUCUCAACUGCACUAGUUUUAUCUAGUUGUAGCUUGGAUGUGGGGGUUUUGUUUUUGCAGGCUUCAGAUAAUGAAGUCGGCUCCCCUAAAAUGUAUUAGUGGUCUCUGAGCAGAGAAAACGGUGUGAUAAUUAUCUAUGCCUUAGUACUUUGCAUGAAAAGAUUGUAUCGCUUCUAACACAAAGUGACUCCACUUUAUGUUUGACAAAUUUGACCUCAAAUCAGGUAGGACUACCCGCUGAACUUAA